GUAGGGUGCGAGCGUUAAUCGGAAUUACUGGGCGUAAAGCGUGCGCAGGCGGUUUUAUAAGCCAGUUGUGAAAUCCCCGGGCUCAACCUGGGAAUGGCAUUUGGGACUGUAAGGCUAGAGUAUGGCAGAGGAGACUAGAAUUCCUGGUGUAGCAGUGAAAUGCGUAGAUAUCAGGAGGAAUACCGAUGGCGAAGGCAGGUCUCUGGGUCAAUACUGACGCUCAUGCACGAAAGCGUGGGGAGCAAACAGGAUUAGAUACCCUGGUAGUCCACGCCCUAAACGAUGACAACUGGUUGUUGGGGGAUUUAUUCUCUUAGUAACGAAGCUAACGCGUGAAGUUGACCGCCUGGGGAGUACGGUCGCAAGAUUA
This 370-nucleotide ribosomal RNA is filed under the name uncultured bacterium. RNAcentral's name for it is "bacterial SSU rRNA". It matches the Rfam family "Bacterial small subunit ribosomal RNA", at positions 527 to 896 of the family's 1533-position model. The record is from RNAcentral.